Molecule: transfer RNA, 76 nt
Filed under: Bacillota bacterium
Lineage: Bacteria; Bacillati; Bacillota
Also listed under: 4 other names
Description: tRNA-Ala
Rfam family: tRNA
About the family: Transfer RNA (tRNA) molecules are approximately 80 nucleotides in length. Their secondary structure includes four short double-helical elements and three loops (D, anti-codon, and T loops).
Source: RNAcentral
GGGGGCGUAGCUCAGCUGGGAGAGCGUUCGGUUCGCAUCCGAGAGGUCGAGAGUUCGAAUCUCUUCGUCUCCACCA